UCUGAUCUCAUUUCUGACCAUGUCCCAAAUUUCACCCUAUUCCCUAUAUAGGGCAUACAAUGAUGCCGGUUGUGUGAAGGGCAUGUUCUCAUGUCUCUAAUUACUGACUCUGUACCUGAGAACCUGAUUUGAUAACAGCUGCAGGGCCCAUGAUGCCUGUGUAAAAUAAAUUUGGAUCAGCCAAUGUGUUUGGAUGGCAUGUUCACAUGUGUCUUUGACCCUAAACUUGUGGCUUGUCUCACCAAUCUGUCCACCCCACAGGGAGAUGUGGAGACCGUGAAGGAGCUCCUAGGCCAGGGGGCUGACCCCAACCUGAAAGACGACGCUGGAUGGACCCCACUGACUGUUAUGGUUCAGUGAGAAACAUGACUGGCGAAGGAGUCACUCAGAGCUGGUUUGAACCGACAUGUCAACGACCCCCCCCCCCCCCCCUCUCAGUUUGGCAUGGAAUAUACAGAAGGACACCAAAUUCACAACGAGCAACAAUGUGUUUGUAGGCGUAAUUAAAAAGUUGAGGAAAGAAGGGCGCGACAAAACUGCCCAUCAAGCAGCCAUAACUGAAGUUUGAACACGACAUGCAGCUCAUCAAACAAUCCAAGGCUCUGGACACUGAAACAUCUGAGGGUUUGGUGAACAAAGUGUGGUUUGAUGUUAAUUUUGGGCGAAGGGGAAGGAGGGAGAACGUUUUUCUUAAAAUUGACUGAUAUAAAAUAUGUACAGACACAGUUUUUACAUGAAUGUAAUGUACGUUUGCUAUCUAGCCUGUGGUUAUGUUUCACAGCAACCAGUCUAGCAACAACUUUUGUCCGGACUACUUUUUCUGGCGGAAUGCAUUUUUGAAUUUAUUUAUUAAAGCUAAAUGUUCAGUUUA
Molecule: long non-coding RNA, 871 nt
Organism: Oncorhynchus mykiss (rainbow trout)
Lineage: Eukaryota; Metazoa; Chordata; Actinopteri; Salmoniformes; Salmonidae
Source: RefSeq, a predicted model, not a curated record